Molecule: long non-coding RNA, 848 nt
Organism: Octopus bimaculoides (California two-spot octopus)
Lineage: Eukaryota; Metazoa; Mollusca; Cephalopoda; Octopoda; Octopodidae
Source: RefSeq, a predicted model, not a curated record
CAGGAUCUGUCAUAUUGCAGCUUUCUAAGGAUUUCUGAAGAUUAACAUUGGCAUUUAAACAAUUAAAAACCAUCAGGAGUCUAUAAAAUUAGCACCAAUUAAGCACUGGGGUUGAUGUGAUUGACCAGUCCCCUCUCCUGAAAUUACUGGCCUGGCACCAAAAUUUGAAGCCAAUAUUAAUUUAAUUGAUUGAGAUUUGAACGUCAGAUAUAUAUAGAAUCAUAACAACACAAAAUGUUUGGAUCAGUGCAUUACCAUUACAAGAUUGAGACAUUGCCGACCUCACGCACUUCUCAUGAGGAACUCUGGAAGGAGCUUCAUGAGACCACUGCUGAGACACUUCUGAAAACAGAAAAGCCUUUGGAAAAUGGAUUAUAGCAGCGGCUCCAUAACGCGUCUGACAUCUGUCAUUUGACUGUGGCCAUUCUGGAGCACCACUUUUAGUCAAAUAGAUGAACCCCAGGACUUAUUCUUGCACCAGCAUGAUCGUUACCAGCGUCGCUUUCCUGGCACUUGUGCCAGUGGCACGUGAAAAGACAUUCGAGUGAGAUCGCUGCCAGUGCCGAUGGACUAGCUCCUGUGCAGGUGGCACGUAAAAUACAUCAUUUCGAGCAUGGCCGUUGCCAGUACCGCCUGACUGGCCUUCGUGCCGGUGGCACGUAAAAGCACCCACUACACUCACGGAGUGGUUGGCGUUAGGAAGGGCAUCCAGCUGUAGAAACUCUGCUAAAUCAGAUUGGAGCCUGGUGUAGCUUCCUGGUUCACCAGUCCUCCGUCAAAUCAUCCAACCCAUGCUAGUAUGGAAAGUGGACAUUAAACAAUGAUGAUGAUAGAUAAGAGAAAAUAUC